Molecule: non-coding RNA, 1354 nt
Organism: Manis javanica (Malayan pangolin)
Lineage: Eukaryota; Metazoa; Chordata; Mammalia; Pholidota; Manidae
Source: RefSeq, a predicted model, not a curated record
GGUUAGGCUUGGAAACCCCAUUAUCUCUUAUCCUCAAGAUUUAGAAGUGGUUGUUACGUUUUACAUUUACCAGUGAUGGCAAGGGCAGGUAAACUCAGAUGCCUCCGAUUGAUUAGAAAUAGAUGUUUUUCAGUUGCUUCACAUGGCAUGGUAAAGGUAUGCUGCCUGACCUCCGUAGGCAUGGGCUUGUGGCCCUGGAGUUCCAGCAUUCCAUGGGGCUGGCUAUCAAUCAGUUCCUGAAGGUUGUAAGUUCUUUCACUAGUUUCCUGCCCUGUGACACAUUCUGUGCAUGGAAGUUAUACUUGGGUUUUCCCCAGAACAACAUCUGCAAACACAUACAAAACACGUUUAAGGCGAGUUAUUGCAACAGAUACGACUUGUUGAUUCUUGCUAGUUUCAUGUUCCAAAGGGGCUUCUUUUGCUAAAUUAGGGACACUUUUAUAUACUGACAACUCCCCAAUUUUUAUAAGGGAUUUAGAGGCUCCAGGCUCAUAAAGCAUUCUGUUAAGAAGUCAUGAGGUAAGCUGAAACCCAUUUUAUUUCAUAGAUGAGCCAUGGUAAUGAUCAAUAACUAUUCACUGCUAGCCUUUAUUGAGUACUUACUGUGCCAAGUGCUAGACUAAGUAAUCCUAUUCAGGCCUCACACAGCCUUAGGAAUUUGUACUUCUAAUACCCAUUUCACGAAUGAUGAAACUGAGGCACAGAAAGCUUGGAAGCAAAGGAACCAGAAUUCAAACCUAGACAAUCCACCCUCUUAACCACCUCAGCUGCCUCUAUGCAGAAAUCCCCUUGUGAGUGUCACGAAUUUCACAAUCAUUGCCUGAAGUCUCACACCAACCCAGAGGCCUCAUAUAGCAACCUGGUCACACACAAGAAUCACCUGAGGGACGUUUAAAGCAUACCCAGUCAUGAGAAAAAUACAGUAAUGGUUAACAUUUGGGGAAUUUAGUUAAGGGUAAGUGGGAAAUCUCUGCAUUACUCUUGCAGUGUUUCUAUAUGUCAGAAAUUAUAUCAAAAUAGAAAAUCAAAAGAAAAAAUGCAUUAGAAGAAUUUUAGUUGACCUGGAGUGAUUUCUACAGGAAUUGUUAAUAGCAAGAAGUGUUAACACAAAGCGUUAAUAACAGAUAAGUGUCUGUGAUAUGAUCCAAUCUGUAUAAAGCAAAUGAUGACAAAUGCAUAUAUACACUUGUACCUAUGUCCUUACAGGAGGAUGGAAUAAAAUAAGUAGGAUACAUUAAAAAACAUUGGAGCUCAGUUCCCAGAGAUUCUCUUUUAAUUGGGCCUGGGUAUGGGUGUGUCUUGCCAAUGGGUUCAGCCCCGGGCAAGUCCACUAUGGAUUCAAUGUGACCAAAGA